This 302-nucleotide unclassified non-coding RNA is filed under the name Hevea brasiliensis (rubber tree). The record is from RNAcentral. Lineage: Eukaryota; Viridiplantae; Streptophyta; Magnoliopsida; Malpighiales; Euphorbiaceae.
GAUUGUUCCAAAGCUAAUGAAAAGUCCUGUCUAUGUGUAUUAUCAACUUGAUAAUUUUUAUCAGAAUCAUCGCCGAUAUGUAAGAAGUCGAAGUGAUAAACAGUUGCAAAGCAAAGCAAGUGAGAAUGAUGUAAGCAACUGUAAGCCUGAAGAUUUAGUAGAUGGAAAACCAAUUGUUCCAUGUGGGCUUGUUGCUUGGAGUUUGUUUAAUGACACUUAUAAUUUCAAAGUGGAAAACAAAGCUUUAGAGGUCAACAAAAAGGACAUUGCUUGGAGAAGUGAUAAAGAACGUAAAUUUGGUU